CAGCCGUAAACAAUGUGCGUUAGGUGUGUCGGUAACCACGUGUUACUGAUGCGCCGAAGAGAAAUCGUGAAACGCACCACCUGGGAAGUACGGUCGCAAGGCUGAAACUUAAAGGAAUUGGCGGGGGAGGCACCACAACAGGUGGAGCCUGCGGUUUAAUUUGGAUUCAACGCCGGACAUCUCACCGGAUAAGACAGCUGAAUGAUUGUCAAUCUGAAGGUUUUACAUGACUAGCUGAGAGGAGGUGCAUGGCGGUCAGUGACU
Molecule: ribosomal RNA, 264 nt
Filed under: uncultured archaeon
Lineage: Archaea
Description: partial 16S ribosomal RNA
Rfam family: Archaeal small subunit ribosomal RNA
Source: RNAcentral